Molecule: long non-coding RNA, 1699 nt
Filed under: Homo sapiens (human)
Lineage: Eukaryota; Metazoa; Chordata; Mammalia; Primates; Hominidae
Description: PREDICTED lncRNA (TCONS_00025401)
Source: RNAcentral
ACCUCUAGCCAGGGACGCGCGCUCGGUCCCCCGCCGUGCGCCCCCGGUCCCGCGCCCAGGCUCCCGCCCCUGGCCUCCUUACCAGCCACUUGUCGCCCAGCUGCGAACUGGAGCGGGAGGCGGCGGCCGGAGGGCCCAGGACAGCCCCGGGAGGGCGGCGAGGCGGAGCAGGAGCGCCCCGGCUCCGGCCACAUUCUCAGAGUCAGGAAAAGGGGCGAGAGGCCACAUGUCUCCCUCUCGCCCAACUGAAAACGAAACGGCGCUCCAGCAGAUUGGGUGGAAAGAGCUGGGUCUCUUUUCUCUGUUUUUCACGCUAGAAAGGGCUUGUAAACAUUGUUCCUUUUAAAAUGACCUACCCCAGGCAUUUGUUUGGGCACACUUCUGUCCUGGGGUCAUCGUUCCUAGGUGGCUUCGGACCUGGGACUUUUCCUGUAUCUGCACAUUGUCGUUUUAUACACAAUUGCCAAGGUGGGACUGCUUUCAACUUUACUGUGCUUGAAGCUGCAAAGCGGAUCCUGUUACAGUGCAAAGAAGAAAUGGCAAACGGAUAACAGCUACUGUGCCUAGAAGAUGGUUCUGCCCUGAUGUUUCCUGGAAUAAUGCUGAGGACUGCCUUUCGGGUAGCCGCCCUAUUCAGUUCACUUCAUCUCGGAAAUACCUGACCCCUGCCUUGGAUCCAGCGGCCCUCCUGAGAGCUGAGGAAGGAGGAAAUCCUAUGUGUCUGCUCCCGGAGCUGCCACAACCCAUCUUCCCACAACUCGGAACUUGGAAAAAGGAACCCAGGACACGACUUUGCUUUUCUUUUGGACCUAGUUGAAGUCACAGCUUGGAGGAAACCAGUUUGCACUAUUUGAUGAGGAAUUUGGCCACCAAACCACUGAUACUUUCCCAAAGAUACAAGUUAACAGGAUAUGCUUCUGGCCUGUUUCUGGAUUCUAAGGGUAGAACCAGCAUAAAACUAGUCAGUCCAAGUAUUUCUAAAGAUCCACAGACACAGUUCUCCUGGAUUUGGGAAGCCUAGAGAUAUUAGCACAAUAAUUAAGGCCCAACAACUUUUAAAAGCCUUUCCACUGCACAGUGAAAGAAAACCACAAACUCCUUGUUUAAUAAGUGGGAUCACGUGCUUUUAACACGAGGAAAAGGUCAAUCUGAAGCAACUGAUAUGGAACUGCCAGAGUAGGAGUUGAAAAUCUUCCUAAACUGCUGGAGGAUACACCUCUGAUAGCUUGAGACAAAUAUCCUCUUGAUCAUUGUUUCACCAUAUUUGUCUUUGCUCAUGGAGAACCAUUUUGAUCCGUGGUUUAGCCUCCCAGGUGAUUGAACAAUACCGGUGAUCUGAGGCAGACCCUCUGUGACGGAUAACAGGAAAGAAUAUUGAUUGAACAUCUACUCAAGAACUGCAAAACAGAGAUUACCUGACCUAAAGAUGAAUCCAGGAUUCGGUGGUGCCUGUUCCAGGAACCUUUAGUGUGAAGGAUCCUCCAGGUGAGAGAAGCCUUUAUGUCUUCUGAAAUGGUUCUGCUGUGUCCCCACCCAAAUCUUGUAUUGAAGCUCCCAUAAUUCCCGCGUGCUGUGGGAGGGACCCAGUGGGAGAUAAUUGAAUCAUGGAGGCAGUUUCCCCCAUACUGUUCUUGUGGUAGUGAAUAAAUCUCACCAGAUCUGAUGAUUUUAUAAGAGGUUUCCCCUUUCACUUGGCUCU